AUACGUAUGUCGCAAGCGUUAUCCGGAUUUAUUGGGCGUAAAGCGCGUCUAGGCGGCUUAGUAAGUCUGAUGUGAAAAUGCGGGGCUCAACCCCGUAUUGCGUUGGAAACUGCUAAACUAGAGUACUGGAGAGGUAGGCGGAACUACAAGUGUAGAGGUGAAAUUCGUAGAUAUUUGUAGGAAUGCCGAUGGGGAAGCCAGCCUACUGGACAGAUACUGACGCUAAAGCGCUAAAGCGUGGGUAGCAAACAGGAUUAGAUACCCUGGUAGUCCACGCCGUAAACGAUGAUUACUAGGUGUUGGGGGUCGAACCUCAGCGCCCAAGCUAACGCGAUAAGUAAUCCGCCUGGGGAGUACGUACGCAAGUAUGAAACUCAAAUGAAUUGACGGGG
This 392-nucleotide ribosomal RNA is filed under the name uncultured bacterium. Its description in RNAcentral is "partial 16S ribosomal RNA". It matches the Rfam family "Bacterial small subunit ribosomal RNA", at positions 523 to 918 of the family's 1533-position model. The record is from RNAcentral.